RNAcentral lists this ribosomal RNA (448 nucleotides) under uncultured prokaryote. Its description in RNAcentral is "bacterial SSU rRNA". It matches the Rfam family "Bacterial small subunit ribosomal RNA", at positions 355 to 796 of the family's 1533-position model. The record is from RNAcentral.
UGGGGAAUCUUGCUCAAUGGGCGCAAGCCUGACGCAGCAACGCCGCGUGAGUGAAGAAGGCCCUCGGGUCGUAAAGCUCUGUUGUUGGGGACGAAGGGCGAAGGGUUAAUAGCCUCUAGCCUGACGGUACCCUUCGAGGAAGCCCCGGCCAACUACGUGCCAGCAGCCGCGGUAACACGUAGGGGGCGAGCGUUGUCCGGAAUUAUUGGGCGUAGAGGGCGCGUAGGCGGCCCGGUAAGUCCGCUGUGAAAUCCUGGGGCUCAACCCCAGGCUGGCAGUGGAUACUGUCGGGCUAGAGGACGGUAGAGGCGAGUGGAAUUCCCGGUGUAGCGGUGAAAUGCGCAGAUAUCGGGAGGAAUACCAGUGGCGAAGGCGGCUCGCUGGGCCGUUCCUGACGCUGAGGCGCGAAAGCUAGGGGAGCAAACCGGAUUAGAUACCCGUGUAGUCC